AGCGAACGCUGGCGGCAGGCCUAAUACAUGCAAGUCGAGCGCCCGUAGCAAUACGGGAGCGGCAGACGGGUGAGUAACACGUGGGAACGUACCCUUCGGUUCGGAAUAACCCAGGGAAACUUGGGUUAAUACCGGAUACGCCCUUACGGGGAAAGAUUUAUUGCCGAAGGAUCGGCCCGCGUCCGAUUAGCUAGUUGGUGGGGUAAUGGCCCACCAAGGCGACGAUCGGUAGCUGGUCUGAGAGGAUGAUCAGCCACACUGGGACUGAGACACGGCCCAGACUCCUACGGGAGGCAGCAGUAGGGAAUAUUGGACAAUGGGCGCAAGCCUGAUCCAGCCAUGCCGCGUGGGUGAUGAAGGCCCUAGGGUUGUAAAGCCCUUUCGGCGGGAAGACGGCCCUCGACAACGAGGGCGGACGGUA
Molecule: ribosomal RNA, 421 nt
Filed under: uncultured bacterium
Lineage: Bacteria
Description: bacterial SSU rRNA
Rfam family: Bacterial small subunit ribosomal RNA
Source: RNAcentral